Daphnia pulex (common water flea) is the source of this 692-nucleotide long non-coding RNA. RefSeq lists it as uncharacterized. Lineage: Eukaryota; Metazoa; Arthropoda; Branchiopoda; Diplostraca; Daphniidae. The record is from RefSeq and is a predicted model, not a curated record. The transcript has 3 exons.
UCGAUAGGUGUUCACGUUCAGUUUCGUUCUCUCUGUUCGAUUUUCUUUGUGCUAUUAACCAAAUUCAAACUUAAUUUGAUACGUAAACAUUGUAGAGUGAUUUUUGUUACACUACAUCUCUGUAUAAUACUAUUGCUAGAUAUCGGGGCUGUUGUCCCAUCAGGUGAUAUCCAUGGAUCACUGAUUGGUAUUCCCUGUUUACAAUGAAUUCCUGAAAAUUUCAUACUAACCACAACUUCAGCAAUACAUUUACCAAAUGCAAAUAACAUCAGCUUAAUAACCAAAUAUUGUUGGUGAAUGGAAAAAGGUUCUAAACAACACAUUUCUAAAUUUGCAUCACAGACUUUAUGAGAAGUCAUGUCCUUUGAAGAACACGGACAAUGACUAUACAGUCAACAAGGUCCCUUGUUUGGUAACCUGUUGGCUGCUACCCUUUUAACUUCCUUAAACGGGCCCUCUUGAUUUAAGGGUAACUCCUUCGCUGCUUAUCAUGGACUUCAUCCAUUGGUGAAAACUGACGAGAGAAUGCUGUAAUUCAAGACUGAUUAGUUGUGUAGUUCUUAGAUAAAUUAAAAGUGCAUAUCUGGGCUCCCUUCUUUUCUGUGGCCCCGUUUCCCUAACUAACCACUAACCAACGCCCGCCGGUGGUCACUCACCCGCUGUGAAACCAGGAGGAGGGGAGGGCUCUGGUC